Molecule: long non-coding RNA, 210 nt
Filed under: Salvia miltiorrhiza (redroot sage)
Lineage: Eukaryota; Viridiplantae; Streptophyta; Magnoliopsida; Lamiales; Lamiaceae
Description: long non-coding RNA (SMIL_LNC000910)
Source: RNAcentral
UGCCGUUUUGGCAUUGUAAAUGAAAUUUCCUCAUCACUUGUCUCGCCUUUAAAUUUUUAUGCUGGUUCUGCCUUCCUUCGCGCUUUGUGUUGUUUUGUUGUUUGUUGAGCUUGCAUUCCCAUACCUCGAGCUGUGAUGUAUUUUUUGUGAAGUAGGGUAGGAUUUUUAUUUUUUGUUGAAGUGUUUGUGAUUCCUCUGGUCGAGUUUUCC